RNAcentral lists this ribosomal RNA (386 nucleotides) under uncultured soil bacterium. Its description in RNAcentral is "bacterial SSU rRNA". It matches the Rfam family "Bacterial small subunit ribosomal RNA", at positions 26 to 392 of the family's 1533-position model. The record is from RNAcentral.
AGAUUGAACGCUGGCGGCAUGCUUUACACAUGCAAGUCGAACGGUAACAGGCCGCAAGGUGCUGACGAGUGGCGAACGGGUGAGUAAUGCAUCGGAACGUGCCCAGUCGGUGGGGGAUAACGCAGCGAAAGCUGUGCUAAUACCGCAUACGAUCUAUGGAUGAAAGGCCGGGGGAACCGAAAGGCCUCGCGCGAUUGGAGCGGCCGAUGUCAGAUUGCUAGUUGGUAGGGUAAACGGCCCACCGAAGGCGACGAUCUGUAGCGUGGUCUGAGGAGGACGACCAGCCACACUAGGAACUGACGACACGGUCCAGACCUCCGUAACGGGAGCAAGCGAAGGUGGGGUAAUUUUGGGAACAAGGUCGGGCGACGAACGCCUUGACUACC